This 73-nucleotide transfer RNA is filed under the name Hortaea werneckii EXF-2000. Its description in RNAcentral is "tRNA-Thr (AGT) (tRNA-Thr-AGT-2-1)". It matches the Rfam family "tRNA". Rfam says of the family: Transfer RNA (tRNA) molecules are approximately 80 nucleotides in length. The record is from RNAcentral. Lineage: Eukaryota; Fungi; Ascomycota; Dothideomycetes; Mycosphaerellales; Teratosphaeriaceae.
GCCGCUAUAGCUCAGUUGGUAGAGCGCGGCACUAGUAAUGCCGAGGUCUACGGUUCAAAUCCGUAUGGUGGCA